CCUACGGGAGGCAGCAGUGGGGAAUAUUGGACAAUGGGCGCAAGCCUGACCCAGCAACGCCGCGUGAAGGAAGAAGGCUUUCGGGUUGUAAACUUCUUUUCUCAGGGACGAAGCAAGUGACGGUACCUGAGGAAUAAGCCACGGGUAACUACGUGCCAGCAGCCGCGGUAAUACGUAGGUGGCAAGCGUUAGCCGGAUUUACUGGGGGUAAAGGGGUUGUAGGCGGGAUUGCAAGUCAGAUGUGAAAACCACGGGCUAAACCUGUGGCCUGCAUUUGAAACUGUAGUGCUUGAGUUCUGGAGAGGAAGACGGAAUUCCUAGUGUAGCGGUGAAAUGCGUAGAUAUUAGGAGGAACACCAGUGGCGAAGGCGGUCUUCUGGACAGCAACUGACGCUGAGGCGCGAAAGCGUGGGGAGCAAACAGGAUUAGAUACCCUUGUAGUC
RNAcentral lists this ribosomal RNA (443 nucleotides) under uncultured bacterium. Its description in RNAcentral is "partial 16S ribosomal RNA". It matches the Rfam family "Bacterial small subunit ribosomal RNA", at positions 338 to 795 of the family's 1533-position model. The record is from RNAcentral.